This 281-nucleotide unclassified non-coding RNA is filed under the name uncultured fungus. RNAcentral's name for it is "partial contains small subunit ribosomal RNA, internal transcribed spacer 1, and 5.8S ribosomal RNA". The stretch from base 1 to 73 matches the Rfam family "Eukaryotic small subunit ribosomal RNA", at positions 1759 to 1831 of the family's 1831-position model. Lineage: Eukaryota; Fungi. The record is from RNAcentral.
GCAAACUUGGUCAUUUAGAGGAAGUAAAAGUCGUAACAAGGUCUCCGUUGGUGAACCAGCGGAGGGAUCAUUACCGAGUUUACAAACUCCCAAACCCCUGUGAACAUACCAAAUCGUUGCUUCGGCGGGAUCGCCCCGGCGCCCCCGGGCCCGGACCCAGGCGCCCGCCGGAGGACCUAAACUCUUGUCUUUUACGGUGUAUCUUCUGAGUGACACAAGCAAAUAAAAUCAAAACUUUCAACAACGGAUCUCUUGGUUCUGGCAUCGAUGAAGAACGCAGC